CCGAGCUCCGGCUCCGGACCGCGCGGACCAUACCUAAAACCUCUUGAUGCCUCGGCGGGGGGCCCCCACGGGGGGGGCCGCGGGGGACCCGCCGGCGGCCAACUCUUUACAUCUCUCUCUACCCGUAACCGUGUACUUCAGUUUUUCUUACCUUCCAAACA
RNAcentral lists this unclassified non-coding RNA (161 nucleotides) under uncultured fungus. Its description in RNAcentral is "sequence contains ITS1, 5.8S rRNA gene". Lineage: Eukaryota; Fungi. The record is from RNAcentral.